GUUAAUUACAGGCAUAAACACUGACUUGUUCAACACAUGAGAUCAUCAUAAACAGUUGGUAUGGGUAGUCAAGAGAUGCUGCACUUUUUUUUUUUUUAAAACAAGUUUGAGAUAUGAGAAAGACAAGAAAAUGAUAUAGUGAUGAUUUGCAUAACUGAUUAAGCUAAGCAUACAUAUCUAUUCGCUUUACCAAGAUUAAGUUUAUGCACAAAAUACUUGCUAGACAUGAAAG
This is a non-coding RNA of Pelobates cultripes (western spadefoot toad), 232 nucleotides long. The record is from the annotation of a GenBank genome assembly. Lineage: Eukaryota; Metazoa; Chordata; Amphibia; Anura; Pelobatidae.